This 441-nucleotide ribosomal RNA is filed under the name uncultured bacterium. Its description in RNAcentral is "partial 16S ribosomal RNA". It matches the Rfam family "Bacterial small subunit ribosomal RNA", at positions 338 to 795 of the family's 1533-position model. The record is from RNAcentral.
CCUACGGGGGGCUGCAGUGGGGGAUAUUGCACAAUGGGGGGAACCCUGAUGCAGCGACGCCGCGUGGGUGAAGGAGUAUUUCGGUAUGUAAAGCCCUAUCGGCAGGGAAGAAAUUGGACGGUACCUGACUAAGAAGCCCCGGCUAACUACGUGCCAGCAGCCGCGGUAAUACGUAGGGGGCAAGCGUUAUCCGGAUUCACUGGGUGUAAAGGGAGCGUAGACGGCCAUGCAAGCCAGGGGUGAAAGCCCGGGGCCCAACCCCGGGACUGCCCUUGGAACUGCAUGGCUGGAGUGCGGGAGGGGCAGGCGGAAUUCCUGGUGUAGCGGUGAAAUGCGUAGAUAUCAGGAGGAACACCGGCGGCGAAGGCGGCCUGCUGGACCGCGACUGACGUUGAGGCUCGAAAGCGUGGGGAGCGAACAGGAUUAGAUACCCGGGUAGUC